This 492-nucleotide ribosomal RNA is filed under the name uncultured bacterium. Its description in RNAcentral is "partial 16S ribosomal RNA". It matches the Rfam family "Bacterial small subunit ribosomal RNA", at positions 29 to 507 of the family's 1533-position model. The record is from RNAcentral.
AGUGAACGCUGGCGGCAGGCCUAACACAUGCAAGUCGAACGGCAGCACAGUAAGAGUUUGCUCUUCCCGGUGGCGAGUGGCGGGCGGGUGAGGUAUACAUCGGAAUCUAUUUUUUCGUGGGGUAUAACGUAGGGAAACUUACGAUAAUACCGCAUACGCUCUACGGGUGAAAGCAGGGGAUAUUCGCAUCUUGCGCGAUUGAAUGCGCCGAUGUCGGAUUAGCUAGUUGGGGGGGUAAAGGCCCACCAAGGCGACGAUCCGUAGCUGGUCUGAGAGGAUGAUCAGCCACACUGGAACUGAGACACGGUCCAGACUCCUACGGGAGGCAGCAGUGGGGAAUAUUGGACAAUGGGCGCAAGCCUGAUCCAGCCAUGCCGCGUGUGUGAAGAAGGCCUUCGGGUUGUAAAGCCCUUUUUUUGGGAAAGAAAAGCAGCAGGUUAAUACCCCGCUUUACUGACGGUACCCAAAGAAUAAGCACCGGCUAACUUCGUG